ACCUGACUGCUAUCGGAUUGAUACUAAGCCAUGCGAGUCAUUGUAGCAAUACAAGGCAUACGGCUCAGUAACGCGUAGUCAACCUAACCUAUGGACGGGAAUAACCUCGGGAAACUGAGAAUAAUGCCCGAUAGAACACCAUACCUGGAAUGGUUUGUGUUCCAAAUGAUUUAUCGCCAUAGGAUGGGACUGCGGCCUAUCAGUUUGUUGGUGAGGUAAUGGCCCACCAAGACUAUUACAGGUACGGGCUCUGAGAGGAGUAGCCCGGAGAUGGGUACUGAGACACGGACCCAGGCCCUAUGGGGCGCAGCAGGCGAGAAAACUUUGCAAUGUGCGAAAGCACGACAAGGUUAAUCCGAGUGAUUUGUGCUAAACGAAUCUUUUGUUAGUCCUAGAAACACUAACGAAUAAGGGGUGGGCAAGUUCUGGUGUCAGCCGCCGCGGUAAAACCAGCACCUCAAGUGGUCAGGAUGAUUAUUGGGCCUAAAGCAUCCGUAGCCGGCUCUGUAAGUUUUCGGUUAAAUCUGUACGCUUAACGUACAGGCUGCCGGGAAUACUGCAGAGCUAGGGAGUGGGAGAGGUAGACGGUACUCGGUAGGAAGUGGUAAAAUGCUUUGAUCUAUCGAUGACCACCUGUGGCGAAGGCGGUCUACCAGAACACGUCCGACGGUGAGGGAUGAAAGCUGGGGGAGCAAACCGGAUUAGAUACCCGGGUAGUCCCAGCUGUAAACUAUGCAAACUCAGUGAUGCAUUGGCUUGUGGCCAAUGCAGUGCUGCAGGGAAGCCGUUAAGUUUGCCGCCUGGGAAGUACGUACGCAAGUAUGAAACUUAAAGGAAUUGGCGGGGGAGCACCACAAGGGGUGAAGCCUGCGGUUC
Molecule: ribosomal RNA, 876 nt
Filed under: uncultured crenarchaeote
Lineage: Archaea; Thermoproteati; Thermoproteota
Description: bacterial SSU rRNA
Rfam family: Archaeal small subunit ribosomal RNA
Source: RNAcentral